CACAAUGGGUUUCCUGAUUCCCAUCCCAACCAUCCUUGCUGUCAUUUUCUUUUCAUUUUCCCUCUUGUUUCCAAGAACCACAAGCAAGUAUCUACGAUGAAUUUCAUUUUCAAGCUUUUGUCUCUGCAUCUCCACUGUUGAACUUCUGCUGCAGAAUUCUCAUGCUUUGUUUGGUAAUAUAAAUAUACAUGAGGUUAAUGCAGGAGCUACAAUAGAUAAAUAAAGUAUAUCCACACCAAAUCCAAAACGCAUUUCAUUCCAAUCACAUGAACUUUUAUUACAUUAGAAAUCUGAAAAGGAAAAGGGUAGUAGAAACUUAUUCUAUAUCCUAUGCACGCUCAAAAACAACAAAAAGGAAUCCAAUCAGCUGGU
This 372-nucleotide unclassified non-coding RNA is filed under the name Hevea brasiliensis (rubber tree). Lineage: Eukaryota; Viridiplantae; Streptophyta; Magnoliopsida; Malpighiales; Euphorbiaceae. The record is from RNAcentral.